GUGCAAUACAGGAACCCCUUUUCCUCUAAAUUGUUGGUUUUAAAAAUUACAAAUUGCAUACAUCUAUUAGAAAAAGUAGAUGUUGUGUGAUUGCGAGUCAGUACAACUUUCCGCCAGAGCUCAACAUGACGUAUAGAAGUCACCAUGUAGCCUAAAAACCAAUACCACAUUUGCGAUUUAUAGAAAGGCUUCAACACGACAAAAUUACAAACAAUUCAAAGGAAAGAACCAAUGGCCUGUUUUAUGUACAACUUAAAUAAAAGAAAAAAAAAUAUUAUUUAAAGAAACAAAUGACCACCACUUAAUAUCUUCCUACCUUAGGACUGGCACAUACAAAAUGUGUUUGCUUUAAACAUGUUUACAGACGAA
Molecule: long non-coding RNA, 369 nt
Filed under: Mytilus galloprovincialis (Mediterranean mussel)
Lineage: Eukaryota; Metazoa; Mollusca; Bivalvia; Mytilida; Mytilidae
Source: RNAcentral